RNAcentral lists this long non-coding RNA (721 nucleotides) under Homo sapiens (human). RNAcentral describes it as "non-protein coding lnc-RFXAP-3:3". Lineage: Eukaryota; Metazoa; Chordata; Mammalia; Primates; Hominidae. The record is from RNAcentral.
CCCACCCCCUCGACACUGCUGCAGUGGGGAUGAAGUUUCCAGCACGUACCUUUGGAGGACUUAUUCAACCAUGACCCUUGCUUCUCAUUCAUGGAGGAAGAGGAGUGAAGAAUCCAAGUGGCAGACUUGGGAGCUCUAGCCCAUCCUUUUCCCGUCCUCUUAUUUUUGGGGGUCGGCCUGCCUGCUUAGCACUAAAUCACAUCACUAUGGGCACCACUGAGGGUGGUAUUUGAGUCACCAACACAACACUCCUGUAUCCAUCUGCAUUUGUCGAUGAGGCAUUCAUGGUGACUGAAAGUAUAUAGAAGAACAGUUGCUGGAGCAAAUUCUUGGCUUUACCAUGGCAACUUUCACAACGUUACAGCACCACAAAGAUGAAGUGGUUGGUGACAUACUCCAAAUGCUGCUCAAAUUUACAGAUUUUCUGGCUUUUAAAGAAAUGUUUCUGGACUGCAGAGCAGAAAAAGAAGGCCAGAGACUGGACUUAAGCCGUGGUUUAGUGGAGACUUCAUUGUGCAAAUCAUCUUCUAUGACAGCUUCUCAGAACAAUCUGCAGCAGUAGGACCUACCUCCAGACAAUGAAUGGUAUCAUUCUCAAUUUCACGGGCUCAGUAGUUCAAUAGGCUCGGCUCAUGAUGACAGGAGAACGUAUCCUGGAAAAACUGAUUCUGUUCUGCAACUCUUCAUUCGCAUUAAAUAUUGAUGGGGUAAAAGCCAAAAU